GACGAACGCUGGCGGCGUGCUUAACACAUGCAAGUCGAACGGAAAGGCCCUGCUGAUGUGUGGUGCUCGAGUGGCGAACGGGUGAUUAACACGUGAGUAACCUGCCCUGGGCUUUGUGAUAACUUCAGGAAACUGGGGCUAAUACCGGAUAGGAGCUCCUGCUGCAUGGCGGGGGUUGGAAAGUUUCGGCGGUGGGGGAUGGACUCGGGGCGUAUCAGCUUGUUGGUGGGGUAGUGGCUUACCAAGGCUUUGCGGGGUAGCCGGGCUGAGAGGGGGACCGGCCAGAUUGGGACGGGGCUACGGCACAGACUCAUACGGGAGGGAGCGGUGGGGAAGGGUGCAUAAUGGGAGGAAGCCUGAUGCGGCAACGCCGCGUGGGGGAUGACGGGCAUCGGGUUGUAAAGCGCAUUCGCAUGUGACGAAGAGUGAGUGACGGUAAUGGGUAAAGAAGCACCGGCUAACUACGUG
This 468-nucleotide ribosomal RNA is filed under the name uncultured bacterium. RNAcentral describes it as "partial 16S ribosomal RNA". It matches the Rfam family "Bacterial small subunit ribosomal RNA", at positions 28 to 507 of the family's 1533-position model. The record is from RNAcentral.